AGUAGCUGUACUGUGUAGCACCAUGGUCUAGACACUACUUGGACAGCAUGUCUCACCUGCCGAUGAAACUCCUACGCAAGAAGAUCGAGAAGCGGAACUUCAAAUUGCGGCAGCAGAACCUAAAGUUUCAGGGGGCCUCAAAUCUGACCCUGUCAGAAACUCAAAUUAGAGAUGUGUCUGAAGAAACAAUGGGAGGUGGAAAGGUUAAAAAAUCAAAACAUUCUAUGAACGUGGGCUUAUCAGAUGCUCAAAAUGGAGACGUGUCUCAAGAAGCAGUGGAAAAUAUAAAAGUUAAAACAUCUCCCCUGAAAUCCACUGUAUUAACCAAUGAAGAAGCAGCAAUGCAGUCUCCUAAUUCAGAAUCAAAAAAGAAAAAGAGAAAAAUGGUGAAUAAUGCUGGACCGGAUACAAAAAAAGCAAAAACUGAAAACAAAGGGGAAUCUGAAGAAGAAAGUGCCAAGACUCCUAAAGAAACAGAAAAUAAUGUGGAGAAGCCAGAUAAUGAUGAAGAUGACAGUGAGGUGCCCAGUCUGCCCCUGGGACUGACAGGAGCUUUUGAGGAUACUUCAUUUGCUUCUCUAUGUAAUCUUGUCAACGAAAAUACUCUGAAGGCAAUAAAAGAAAUGGGUUUUACAAACAUGACUGAAAUUCAGCAUAAAAGUAUCAGACCACUUCUGGAAGGCAUGGAUCUUCUUGCAGCUACAAAAACCGUCAGUGGUAAACCCCCGGCUUUUCUCAUCCCUGCAGCUGAACUCAUUGUUAAAUUUAAGUUCAUGCCCAGGAAUGGAACGGGGGUCCUUAUUCUCUCAUCUACUAGAGAACUAGCCAUGCCAACUUUUGGUGUUCUUAAGGCGUUAAUGACUCACCACGUGCAUACCUAUGAGCUGAUAAUGGGUGGCAGUAACAGACCUGCUGAAGCAUAGAAACUUGCUAACGGGAUCAACAUCCUUGUGGUCACACCAGGCCAUCUGCUGGACCAUAUGCAGAAUAUCCCAGGGUUUAUGUAUAAAAAUCUGAAGUGUCUGGUCAUUGAUGAAGCUGAUCGUAUCUUGGAUGUUGAGUUUGAAGAGGAAUUAAAGCAAAUUAUUAAACUUUUGCCAACACGUAGACAGACGAUGCUUAUUUCUGCCACCCAAACUCAAAAAGUUGAAUGCCUGGCAAGGAUUUCUCUGAAAAAGGAGCCAUUGUAUGUUGGUGUUGAUAACACAGCUAAUGCAACAGUGGAUGGUCUUGAGCAGGGAUAUGUUGUUUGUCCUUCUGAAAAGAGAUUCCUUCUGCUCUUUACAUUCCUUAAGAAGAACCAAAAAAAAACAAGCUGAUGGCCUUCUUUUCAUCUUGUAUGUCCGUGAAAUACCACUAUGAGUUGCUGAACUACAUUGAUUUGCCCAUCUUGGCCAUUCAUGGAAAGCAAAAGCAAAAUAAGCAUACAACCACAUUCUUCCAGUUCUGCAAUGCAGAUUCGGGAACACUAUUGUGUACAGAUGUGACAGCAAGAGGACUGGACAUUACUGAAGUCGAUUGGAUUGUUCAGUAUGACCCUCUGGAUGACCCUAAGGAAUAAUAUUCACCAUGUGGGUAGAACAGCCAGAGGCCUAAAUGGGAGAGGGCAUGCCUUGCUCAUUUGGCACCCAGAAGAAUUGGGUUUUCUUCACUACUUGAAACAAUCCAAGGUUCCGUCAAGUGAAUUUGACUUUUCCUGGUCUAAAAUUUCUGACAUUCAGUCUCAGCUUGAAAAGAACUACUUUCUUCACAAGUCAGCCCAGGAAACAUAAAAAUCAUACAUACAAGCCUAUGAUUCCCAUUCUCUGAAACAGAUCUUUAAUGUUAAUAACUUCAAUUUGCCUCAAGUUACUCUAUCAUUUGGUUUCAAGGUGCCUCCCUUUGCCGAUCUGAAUGUCAACAGCAAUGAAGGCGAGCAGAAAAAGCGAGUAGGCAGUGGUGGAUUUGGCUACCAGAAAACCAAGAAAGUUGAGAAGUCCAAAAUCUUUAAACACAUUAGCAAGAAAGUAUCCAACAGUAGGCAGUUCUCCCAUUGA
Mandrillus leucophaeus (drill) is the source of this 2036-nucleotide RNA transcript. It is a transcript of the gene named ATP-dependent RNA helicase DDX18 pseudogene, with no coding region annotated. The record is from RefSeq and is a predicted model, not a curated record. Lineage: Eukaryota; Metazoa; Chordata; Mammalia; Primates; Cercopithecidae. The transcript has a single exon.